This 92-nucleotide microRNA precursor is filed under the name Prunus persica (peach). Its description in RNAcentral is "MIR6288 microRNA precursor family". It matches the Rfam family "MIR6288 microRNA precursor family". Lineage: Eukaryota; Viridiplantae; Streptophyta; Magnoliopsida; Rosales; Rosaceae. The record is from Rfam by way of RNAcentral.
UCAAAACUAGUCAUUUGUCAUUUUCUCAUUGGUUCGUAGUGUGUUAAAUUUUUCUAAGAAGCACUUAGAAAAUGACAAGUGGCUAAUUUUGA